Prosopis cineraria is the source of this 392-nucleotide long non-coding RNA. RefSeq lists it as uncharacterized. The transcript has 3 exons. The record is from RefSeq and is a predicted model, not a curated record. NCBI's taxonomy places the organism in Eukaryota, Viridiplantae, Streptophyta, Magnoliopsida, Fabales, Fabaceae.
GAGAGAGAGAGGAAGAAGAAAGGAGAAAGAGAGGGAGUUAGGCUCGGAUCUAGGAGUCUUUGUGACCGUUGCGAGCUCGGCUACACGAUAGAAAAUUGUUGGUGGAACUUAUUGAGAAGUAAGGAACAAGCCGAGCCCUAUUUUGUACAAGGGGAACCCUUUUAGUACCAAAGGGUUGAGGUCCAGGCGAAGGAUCCAGUGGUGGACGGGGAAAAGAGCAAAGCUAGGGGUUUGCUUGUGAUUUGUAAAGAACUGCAACCCCUUUCUUUUGAGCAAAUAUAUUGUAAUGUAUUUAAGAUUAGGGUGCCAGUAGGAUAUGAUUGUGUGUGUGUGUGUGAAUAUGUGUGGAUUGUGUGCUUGUGUAUGAAUUUUUGUCUGUUUGCAGACUUGUG